GUAGGAACCUUAAGAAGAUCGAUCCGCCGUAUCAACACUGUAUUUAAAUCAACUUUACUUCAGGUCAACGUCCAGGCCUUUGGAGUACCUUUAUGUUUUUGGCACAGUGCUCUUCUUCAUGUUUCAGGGUGGCUGACUAUGGAGAGGAUCUAAAAGAAGUGGUGGAUCAGACAUUGUGGAAGGAUACAGGCUUCAAUUGUGACCAUUCAGCUGGACACAUUAACAAUGAAAACGGCCAGUAGUGAAACAUAUGAAGAUGGUGCAAAAUGACUAACAAGCUAUUAUGACAAAGACAAACUCUUG
Thalassophryne amazonica is the source of this 303-nucleotide long non-coding RNA. RefSeq lists it as uncharacterized. The record is from RefSeq and is a predicted model, not a curated record. The transcript is spliced from 3 exons. Lineage: Eukaryota; Metazoa; Chordata; Actinopteri; Batrachoidiformes; Batrachoididae.